This 4316-nucleotide ribosomal RNA is filed under the name Triticum aestivum (bread wheat). RNAcentral's name for it is "partial small subunit ribosomal RNA". Lineage: Eukaryota; Viridiplantae; Streptophyta; Magnoliopsida; Poales; Poaceae. The record is from RNAcentral.
CCUAGAUACUAUAAGUAAACCAUAACACUUAUAGCUAUAAAAAGACAUUAGAACCAGUUUGAUUAAUAACUUCAUUAUACUUUGCCUCCCUCAUGAUAAACACGAACAUUCUGGUACGAAAGUAUACGUUCUCGUUCACACGCUUCUUAACAUCGGGUGCUCUAUAAAGAACUACACGUUAAGAGCUGCCGCUGGCCGUUUGUUACGACUUAUUAGGAGCGAGAACAUGGAACACACCAGGAUCUUAGUAGUUGCAAGGCCCGUUUCGACCUGUGAGUCUGAGGACGUUUACACUACUGGCUACUCGAAUAGAACUUGUUUUUGGUGUGUUUUUUCAGUCUCGUCACAAUCUAGCAGGUUCCGAGGUUCGUAGAAGUACGGUAAGAGGAAGACAAGUAACCGAGGUAUACUUUCGUCGAGGAAGCAAAACUAGUAUCCCACUUUCUUCAGACUUAUCCAUACUGAGGGGAGGGUCAAAAGCAGGAGGACAGUAACCAAACAAAGACGUAUAGGCUACUGGCGGAAUGAUGGCGUUUUGACGAGUUACGGGCGCUGUUCGAGCAAAGCUCGCCGCCACAGAAACGAGAACCGAAGAAGUGGGGCCGUUUGAGUUGACACCUGUGUAUGUAGCCGUAUACCAUGUUGUUCUAAGGGGUCGGGUGAAUACACACCCAACGAUUGGCGCUGUUGGGUUAGUUCUUACCAAGAGGACCCUUCGACCAAUACUCGUCGUUGAGACUGGAACAGAACAGACUGAGGGUUCCGGCGUGAGAGACCUGUUGAUGUUUGUUGAAGUGUAGGCGUUGGUGCCCUUGACGACGAUAUGACAAACUGAGGCCUUUGAACCAGUAGGUCAACGGCUUGCCGUUUGUGUAUACCGUCUCGAAGCUAAUGGGUUGGCUGUGGCGGGAGGGACUGUACCAAAAUGGUGACUCGUGUUUACUACCAUAGAACUCCGCGGAGCAACGAACCUUCCCGGGACUACUGGGCCCGUGGUCGCUGAUGAGGUACCCACCACUGAGGUCGAGUCUGGAGGUCCAACAGUAGACCUUACCCUGCUCUGGUAUAACCGCGUCUAGUCGCACCCUACCCAGUAACCAGAGACCGGACAUAGUUUCGUAAUGACCGAAGUAGAAUUGACUUUAUUAACAGCUGUCUCCCCCACUCAAUAUGUACUGUAAGUGGCAGAGGGUCCCUAGUGGUUCGGACGCGUACUACGACCUGAUGUUCCCGUGAAAAUUUAAAGACCGCACCUUGUCGUUGAGUAGUAGUACCCUCCGAAAGUAUCUCGUAGGAUCAGGAUAGACACUUGCGAUGCGGAUAACGCCUGGUAAACCGAUGACACUACGGCGACUUUGUCAAGGCUUUACGUUGACGGAGUCACCCAAACUCGGACUACCGCAAUUGAAGAGGUCUCCCACAGCCUCUUUCCUCCUAGACUUUACACCAUUAUUGCUAUAAAAGAGCUGGGACUCUCCAUACUUCUGUGGGCUGUUCAAGAACAUACAGUCCUUAUCUUCGAAACUGGUUACGUGUCUUCUCACGUUUGCGUUAACGAGAACGAGGCGUAUACGAAUACGAUUGGACUUAUUACCUUCACCCCGACGCCUGGUCAGUUCCACGAAUUAAACCAACCCUCCUGAACAGCUGUACCGCUUUAAAGCACUACCACCACCACCACUCCUGGACAUGGAGGCGGAACGGUCAAGUUGUCAACUGUUCCUCUAAUUACAUAACUUCUAAUAUGAGGGUUAUCACCGAUCAGACGACUAUGAACGUAGGUAGACGGAACACACCUAUACGUUCAGUUCUCACAGUCCAUUUGCUGCUUAGUUCCUCUAAUUCUUGUUUGUAUGUGCUGUCGUGGACGUUUUAAGGUUUAACUUGCUUGAACUCUUACUUUCAUAUCUGGAAGGUAUAUAGACGAAACUUCUGUAACAAUGACGUUGUCUGUUAAAGAGUCUGAUGUUUAACGAACCCUUUCCACCGAAACCUUUUCAAAUGUUCCCUGAUAAUCCUCCACCACCGUUCCUUCAACGACAGUUUUCCGAAUCAUUUUCAAGGCCGGUUCCCCGGCUGCUCAAAUCUUUACUUCAACAAGAUUAACGGUUUAAUGUCGUAUCUUUGAAUCAAUCUGAAGAACCAAUGACGUGAGUACUUCUACUCUUCAAUAACUAUAUACUUAUGAAUGGAUUGUUUUCGAACCUACGGAAGGAAAAACUACGUUGUUCUUUAAGACACGAACUAACCGACUGAGCCAAGUUCCAUUAAUUUCCCUAUCGCUCUCCCGAAGAAAUAGAGGUGGUUCUAAGUUCCAAUUGUUAUUAAGUGUCCCUAGAGUUUCGUUCGUUACAGAACAAUCUACGUCUUUACUUGGGAUUUUAUAGUCUAAAACCAUACCGUUCCUAUAAACCUCCUUUACUCGUUGUUCGCUUGUGAUAGGCGUAACAACCCUGCAUACCAAUGUACAGAGGACUUAUACGUUACCUUCCAAGGAAAAGACAGUUCAGACUGUGCAUAUCGAAACCGCAAGAUGACAACCUCUAACAUUCGCCCAAUUUCUAGUCAAGUCGGGUAAAGUACUGUCUGAAAUGUUUGGAAUAUCGAAUGCGGACCUCGAAUACCUUUCUACCUUUACGUUCUCUUAACCACCUGAGCAGGUAACACCUCUUGACAGGUGGAGUACUUCAAGAUGCUACAUAAGUAGAUCCAGAGAACACACAAGUUCUGUUAGGUUUACGGUCCGGCGAGUACAGUAGGUGACACAAGUACGAUCUUUUACUUUGCCGGGACGAAGGAUGAGGCUUCCUCGGAGAUAUGAAAUCCCCUGCUAUACUACUCCAACUUCUGGUUUCUCUAUGGUACCCUUAUUGGGACUUAUUCUACUGAUAGUGAUACGUUCUCCCCGCAAUCUACAAAUUAAGUAACAAGAAGAAAAAACAUUUGAAGAGAUCAAACAUGUCCACUUGUCAAGUCGUUAAAUAGAAGGAUACCUGUUUAUUUGUUAGGUAACUCAUUUAACAUUAGGACCAACAUCAAAUAAAAGAAUCUACCAAAGGUACAAACCUUAAAGGGAUAAAACGAGUAUACAAAGAGUGGAACGGUUCACCUUCUCCGACGGACUAGUACACGCCUAGUGACGAAUGUACACAAAAUAGAAGUUUACUUAAAAGACAUAGGUCGAAGGAACCAAUCAGUUGCCCAGACUUUGAGACUUAACGAUUAAACCAUCGCUCCGACGAUAAUUAAUAUACAAGAGAAACUCGACCAUAGAAUCGCAUUUUAGGUAAAAAAUAGAAUACGACGAUCACGGUUCAUUCGAUCUAAAUGUGCGGGCUUCAGACUGUUAUCAUUAUAAAAUAAAUAAGUCCAUCUCACCCGUUUUGAAGUCCGUACCUCUUGAUAACUUUCAAGUUCAAGUUGGACUUGUCUCUUCAUUACUUUUUCAGCCCGAAGACACUUAGAGAGUCAUAGAUAUUCUUUCCAUCAUUCUAGGUAAAUUCACUAGAAGUUCGCCAUAUUUAAAGGUCGGAUUGAAUAGGGCUUAGUAUAUAUGGAGGAGACAUCAAAGUAUGUAGUGUAAUUUUAUAAAUCGGUGAUGUAGACGUAGUGGAGAAAGUAUCAAAGUAGUAACUCUACCAUAACAAAGGUGAAGUUUUGUUAUUAGAACUUCACGCGCACGUAUGACAGUUAAAACUACCGGACCAUUGAAACACUCACGGUCCGGUGAGUCCGACCUGUCACUCCGGCACCGUGAGUGUUGUGGUCUCGUCGGAGACAUGAAACAACCUUCCUCCGUACUUCGUCUUCUUCGUUCCCUCCUGAGACAAUUGUUGCGUGUGGACCGCUGCGAUGGUCCCUCGAUCUUCGAAUACUAAGGAACGUCACUCCAUUGUACUCACGGGGCCUUGUAGUUUCCCUUCGUCUAAUACUAAUUGACGGUUCACCCAAAGUCACCGGUUGACGACCACCUCUUAGGAGAAAGGGCAAGGACAGCACAGGAGAAAGUUACCAACCAGAUUUUAGUUAUGACUACGAACGAGACUAGGUAACUGACGAGUUGGAACAAAACCACGAUAGCAAGCCUUGUCGUGACCAGCCUGCCAAGAACGACGAACCUGAGUAACGGGUCAUACCUUUUGACGACCUUCAAGUCGAAGCAGGAAUUGUUUUUCAGUCUUUUCACCACGAAGGAACUUAGAGGGUCACAGGUAGUCUUUCCAUCUUUCCAAUAAAGUUCACUAGAACUUGGACAUUCUGCUGGUAUCAUUUCGGGUUGAGUGGGCCUUAGUAUAUAUGGAAGAGACUUCAAAGUC